ACCUGAGUGGCUCAGUUGGUUAAGCGUCUGACUUCGGCUCAGGUCAUGAUCUCAGAGUUCGUGGGUUUGAGCCCCACGUCAGGCU
Transfer RNA from Felis catus (domestic cat), 85 nucleotides. It matches the Rfam family "tRNA". Rfam says of the family: Transfer RNA (tRNA) molecules are approximately 80 nucleotides in length. Their secondary structure includes four short double-helical elements and three loops (D, anti-codon, and T loops). Lineage: Eukaryota; Metazoa; Chordata; Mammalia; Carnivora; Felidae. The record is from Rfam.